AUGAAGACAAAGCCAUUUUCAAACAUUCGAUUGGCGAAAUCUGCACGCUUAGCUAACACUUUCAUUUUCAGAGCUGCCGGUGGCUGUAUGCAGGUCCAGAAAAUCGACUGUGUUUCCUGGUGGAUUCCACCCAGGGAAGAGAGCCCUGGGAAUGCCCAGACACGUUUGUUGGAAGGAAUGGAUGAGUGGCUAACAGGCGAGCCCCCAGGAUGCAAACGCAUUUACCAAUUCACUGGCAGAAACCUUAGCUGCCUCUUCUGGAAGCCACCAUUCGGCCCAGCCGGGACAGAAAAAGAGCCACUCUCCAUUGUACUGGCCAGGAGGUGUGCAAAUGCAGUUGUGCAGAUGCUUACCGCUGCUGUAAUCCAGCAUGUCCACACCGUAACCAUCAGACCUGGCUGGGUUGGGGCCCUGUCAGAGAGACAGGGAAGCGUCAGAUAGGGAAGGCUGGGAAGAAGGAUGCAGCGGGAGGCCCCCCACAGCCGAGGCUGAAAGGCAUCAUGGACGCUUUGGGCUACCACUUCCAAUGUUUUGCCUAAUGUUUAGGGUAUUCAUGGGGUUUGUGCAAGUGUGUCCACAGGCCCCUGUAGCCAGAACAUGGGACUAGGCUUUCUGAAGACCGUGCAUUCCGGCGCUGACUUUUCCUAUCAAUGGGAGAGACGUGGGCUAUUGACCUAGCGGCCUUCUCUUCUCCAUCUAUUGUCGCGGCUCAAUCACGCACUUACCAGAAGAAAAGCGAGUUUAUCUUAGCCUGGAGGAGCCUCAGGUUGCGUGUGUGUGACUAAAGGGUGGGGGAAGUUCUGCAGCCACGACUCUGCAGAUGGGUUGAGGAUAGACACUUUCAGAAAAGGGCCAAUUUCCCCUUCACAAUGAGCGCUAAGUACGUGAUAAAUGGGGCUGGUGUUUAUUCAUGAGCAGGUACUUGGGAGAUGGCGAUUAGAACGGCCGCCCGCGCCGCCUCGCCAAGGUACUUAAAGCCGGGCAGGUGCAGCGCUGCGCGCAGCCCGAGCGCACAAAGCCCGCGGCCACAGCGGCGUGGGGAGGGGCGUGAGUGCGGGCCGCGCGGGGCCCUGAGGGCGCGCGGCGCGCAGGCACCUUAGCCCUUUGUUCCUCCACCGAAGCCAAGGCCACUUCACCGAGGGGCGUCCCGGAAAACCUCCCCUCUAAUUACAAAGAAUUCCGCUUCGUCCCUCCUCCCAGAGUCCAGCCGGGCAACUCAUGGCCCGGAGGACGCGGGGACUCAGCGUGAGACCAGGCUGGGCAUUUGCGUAAAUGCCGCCUGUAAGCUGGCUCUUAGCUACCCAACUAAGUAACGCAACAACUAGGAAAGCAGCAGAACCCGGGCCUGGGAACAGCGCGGGCACGCGGCUCUAGCCGCCCCCGCCGCCGAGGCGCCACCUCUGGCCGUGCGGGUAACCUCGGGCUUUCAGGUUUUGUUUCA
RNAcentral lists this long non-coding RNA (1441 nucleotides) under Sus scrofa (pig). Its description in RNAcentral is "lncRNA (ENSSSCG00025076151.1, ENSSSCG00035080552.1, ENSSSCG00070013813.1)". Lineage: Eukaryota; Metazoa; Chordata; Mammalia; Artiodactyla; Suidae. The record is from RNAcentral.